UACGGAGGGUGCAAGCGUUAUCCGGAUUUACUGGGUUUAAAGGGUGCGUAGGCGGCGCGGUAAGUCGGGUGUGAAAUCUUGGAGCUUAACUCCGAAACUGCAUUCGAUACUGCCGUGCUUGAGGACUGGAGAGGAGACUGGAAUUUACGGUGUAGCGGUGAAAUGCGUAGAUAUCGUAAGGAAGACCAGUGGCGAAGGCGGGUCUCUGGACAGUUCCUGACGCUGAGGCACGAAGGCCAGGGGAGCAAACGGG
RNAcentral lists this ribosomal RNA (253 nucleotides) under uncultured bacterium. Its description in RNAcentral is "partial 16S ribosomal RNA". It matches the Rfam family "Bacterial small subunit ribosomal RNA", at positions 524 to 776 of the family's 1533-position model. The record is from RNAcentral.